Molecule: ribosomal RNA, 253 nt
Filed under: uncultured bacterium
Lineage: Bacteria
Description: partial 16S ribosomal RNA
Rfam family: Bacterial small subunit ribosomal RNA
Source: RNAcentral
UACGGGGGGGGCAAGCGUUGUUCGGAAUUACUGGGCGUAAAGGGCUCGUAGGUGGCCAACUAAGUCAGACGUGAAAUCCCUCGGCUUAACCGGGGAACUGCGUCUGAUACUGGAUGGCUUGAGUUCGGGAGAGGGAUGCGGAAUUCCAGGUGUAGCGGUGAAAUGCGUAGAUAUCUGGAGGAAUACCGGUGGCGAAGGCGGCAUCCUGGACCGAGAUUGACGCUGAGGAGCGAAAGCUAGGGGAGCAAACAGG